UGAUGCUAUAUUCUAACACGUGCUACCAAAUCGAGGGGUAAAUUUUCAAAGAAACCCUAAUUUCAGUCUGAGAAGAAGAACGGAGAAGAUAGCAAAUAGUUUUUCUUUUCUCCCGAAAAUUGGUUUUCGCCCCUAAUUGGAGCAAAAGGAAGAUUCAAUUUCUUUUUGUUGGGAAAAAAUAAAUGACCAAUUUAAUUACAGCCCUCUUCUGUUUGCUCCUCACGUGCGGCCGCCUUCACUGCUUCUCUUGAUUUAGAAGAAAGCGGUGACUUUCUUCACAUCUUGCAGCUUCUUCUUGAAACAAGCACAUUGUUGAUUCAAUUCUCACAAAAUAUAUUUAAAGAAUGAUUAGCCAGCAUCGAGUCACUAACAAUCUUGUUAGCUAUGAAGUUGAAAGGCCUAGAGGCUCCACAUGUCCCAAAUAAAGCUGGUGCAUCAAUACCCAAGUUCUGGAACUCGAACUUGAUCAUCGGGUUUGUGAUCCCAACACUCCAGGAUCACUUGAUAUAGUUCUUGUUGAAAUGAACACAAAUUCAGUAGUAUGCAAAUAGUUAUACUCUUGUAUUGGAGUAUACAGGUGUAGGUAACAGUUCUUAUGCUUUAACUGGAAAUUAUUGUCCUCUGCAUCAGCUUCUUGUUUUUCCCUUACCCGAGUUUUUCGAUGUUAAUUCCUGUAAGUAGUUGGUAUGAUGCAACAUAUUUAUUUGCUGACUUUGUUUGUAGUGACUGAACCUGCCUAUAAACUUGUUAAUCUUUCCUAGCAUGUAUACAAUAUAAAUGAUGAUUCAUUGUCAAUUUUCAUUCUAAUGUAAACUUUUGAGGGAUAUGGCAGUGGGAUGAUACAUCACCUACCUAAGUUCCCACAUUCGGCCAGGUUCACUGAUGUUUCCAGAAAGCAUUAGGACUUUUGAGGAGAAGUUGCACAUACUUGAUACGGGAAGGAUAUUAUCGUGUUGGGGAUUCUGCUGGAAGUUGUUAUGUUCAGUUGUCGCAUUGCUGGAAUUACCCAUCCUUUGAUUCUCCAAGCAAGUUUCUUCUCAUCUUAAGUUUCAUGAUUCAGUGUUUGAUUCCUCUUUCCAAAAGAUAUUGUAGCAACAAAGGGGGCCAAAAGAUUGAAACUCUCCAUUGCAGGAAUUUUUUCCAAGGGCCGAUAAUUUCCCUGUUCUGUUAGCAUUCUUCUCCUUUAAAGUCUCCUCGGAAAUUACUGCUUGGCC
Long non-coding RNA from Asparagus officinalis (garden asparagus), 1214 nucleotides. RefSeq lists it as uncharacterized. The transcript has 3 exons. The record is from RefSeq and is a predicted model, not a curated record. NCBI's taxonomy places the organism in Eukaryota, Viridiplantae, Streptophyta, Magnoliopsida, Asparagales, Asparagaceae.